RNAcentral lists this ribosomal RNA (465 nucleotides) under Vreelandella stevensii. Its description in RNAcentral is "partial 16S ribosomal RNA". It matches the Rfam family "Bacterial small subunit ribosomal RNA", at positions 338 to 795 of the family's 1533-position model. Lineage: Bacteria; Pseudomonadati; Pseudomonadota; Gammaproteobacteria; Oceanospirillales; Halomonadaceae. The record is from RNAcentral.
CCUACGGGGGGCUGCAGUGGGGAAUAUUGGACAAUGGGGGCAACCCUGAUCCAGCCAUGCCGCGUGUGUGAAGAAGGCCCUCGGGUUGUAAAGCACUUUCAGUGAGGAAGAACGCCUGGUGGUUAAUACCCAUCAGGAAAGACAUCACUCACAGAAGAAGCACCGGCUAACUCCGUGCCAGCAGCCGCGGUAAUACGGAGGGUGCGAGCGUUAAUCGGAAUUACUGGGCGUAAAGCGCGCGUAGGUGGCUUGAUAAGCCGGUUGUGAAAGCCCCGGGCUCAACCUGGGAACGGCAUCCGGAACUGUCAAGCUAGAGUGAAGGAGAGGAAGGUAGAAUUCCCGGUGUAGCGGUGAAAUGCGUAGAGAUCGGGAGGAAUACCAGUGGCGAAGGCGGCCUUCUGGACUGACACUGACCCUGAGGUGCGAAAGCGUGGGUAGCAAACAGGAUUAGAUACCCUUGUAGUC